GCCUGGGUGGCUCAGUCGGUUGAGCUUCUGACUUCGGCUCAGGUCAUGGUCUCACGGUCUGUGAGUUCGAGCCCCGCGUUGGGCU
Non-coding RNA from Felis catus (domestic cat), 85 nucleotides. The record is from Rfam. Lineage: Eukaryota; Metazoa; Chordata; Mammalia; Carnivora; Felidae.